GGUACCUGGAAAGAAAAGACAAAGCCAUAUUAGGUACAAAAAGGAACUUCCUUCCCGAUGUCGCCGAGCGAAACUCAUUGAUGCGGCGAGUGUCAGCCUACAUACUGUCAGUUGCUGAAACCACAAGAACCAAGCACAGUGGAGCAAGAGGAUAGCGACAAAAGCAGCUUCCCAGGAGGCUUCCAGUCCUCCGUGGGCGUCUAAUAUCUGUGGGCGGUCCCAUUAGAGAACUGUCACGACAAACGAAAACCUCUCUGCGACGCAUCAUCUACCAACGAUUGCUAUUGCACAAUACGCGUGUCUCUCUUCCCCCCUGGGCCAUCGCUAGAUGGAGCCCCAGGCUGGAGCGAGUCAUGGAUAACGGGAAUACUAACUGAAAACGGCUACUGCGAGAGAGAAGUAGUGUCCACCAAUAGGAUGCUGAUCUGUGGCUUCCUGCCUCUGCUUUUGUGAGAUCCCGGAGGGAAGGCGGCCGCAUCCCUUACAAAGGACGGAAGAGUGGCCAUGCUCGUCAUCCGACCUGUGUGUGCAUUGAGGGUGUGAACAAGGACAAGAGCCACGUGGGCAAAUGCAAGCUGACUGUCUCGGAGGAGAAACUCUAAAUAUAUCGACAAAGACACAGGGAGUGAUGUAGCGGCUGAAGAGCUUGCUUGUUGCCAUGCCGGGCUGCACGCUGCCGCUGCUCCGCCUCGCAGGGAUUCGUCGUCUACUGCGUGGCGUUUCAUUGGAAUGCUCGUGUUGCCCCCCAGUAGGAAUACACUGGCGGGUCAGCGAUCAAUUGGCCAAAUUAUGUUCGCUUACACAAUUAAACAGAAGGUGCCACUUUGAUGCAGUUAGUGUUUUUGGGUUGGAAAACAUCAUGUGAAGGCGAUGCACCUCAUCAUUUCAACUAACUAGACUCACGGGAAGUCUGUAAGAUGAUUUGAUGUCCGGAGGUGGAAUCGAACCUGCACACUCCUAACUGUGAGGCAGACGUGCUAACAAGUGUGCCGCCCUUUUGUCGUAAAAUGCACUAUAUAAUUAAAGUUGUUUUGUAUUGUAUUGGAUAGUCAAGGAUUUUGAUAAUCGGUCAUUUAACGAUUGACGCUUUUGUCAUAUAUUUUACUUCCCAUGUUCUUGCCCUAUCUGAACGUCAGUUAUUGAGAUAUGUCUCAGUCCAGCUAUUGUACAUUUUAUUUGGUAUGAUUUUAGUUGUGCUAAUAUAUUUGCAUGUUAAAAGUGCAUUUUUCACUGUAACUAAAAAAGCAAUUAAAUGUAAAGUAUGUUUAACA
Syngnathus typhle (broad-nosed pipefish) is the source of this 1271-nucleotide long non-coding RNA. RefSeq lists it as uncharacterized. The record is from RefSeq and is a predicted model, not a curated record. Lineage: Eukaryota; Metazoa; Chordata; Actinopteri; Syngnathiformes; Syngnathidae. The transcript has 2 exons.